This 337-nucleotide ribosomal RNA is filed under the name Staphylococcus aureus. Its description in RNAcentral is "bacterial LSU rRNA". It matches the Rfam family "Bacterial large subunit ribosomal RNA", at positions 2587 to 2925 of the family's 2925-position model. The record is from RNAcentral. Lineage: Bacteria; Bacillati; Bacillota; Bacilli; Caryophanales; Staphylococcaceae.
AUUAAAGCGGUACGCGAGCUGGGUUCAGAACGUCGUGAGACAGUUCGGUCCCUAUCCGUCGUGGGCGUAGGAAAUUUGAGAGGAGCUGUCCUUAGUACGAGAGGACCGGGAUGGACAUACCUCUGGUGUACCAGUUGUCGUGCCAACGGCAUAGCUGGGUAGCUAUGUGUGGACGGGAUAAGUGCUGAAAGCAUCUAAGCAUGAAGCCCCCUCAAGAUGAGAUUUCCCAACUUCGGUUAUAAGAUCCCUCAAAGAUGAUGAGGUUAAUAGGUUCGAGGUGGAAGCAUGGUGACAUGUGGAGCUGACGAAUACUAAUCGAUCGAAGACUUAAUCAAAA